AGCAGAUUUUGCUAAGGAAUUCCAAACACCUUCACCAUGAUUAGCAAUGUAGUUAAUGAGAAUUAAAUCCUCUUCCAUAGUCCAAGGUCCUUUCCUCACUUCAACAUCUUGAGAGUUGCAUGGUUUUUUAUCCAUCUUUUUUUUUUUAAAAAAGAUGAAGAAUCCAAACACCUUCACCAUGAUUAGCAAUGUAGUUAAUGAGAAUUAAAUCCUCUUCCAUAGUCCAAGGUCCUUUCCUCACUUCAACAUCUUGAGAGUUGCAUGGUUUUAUAUCCAUCUUUAUUAAAAAAAAGAAAAGAUGGAGAAAAGAAGGAGAGAGAGGAAGAGAUAUGGGAUAGGAGUGAAGAUAU
RNAcentral lists this long non-coding RNA (350 nucleotides) under Nicotiana benthamiana. Its description in RNAcentral is "long non-coding RNA (NBEN_LNC022998)". Lineage: Eukaryota; Viridiplantae; Streptophyta; Magnoliopsida; Solanales; Solanaceae. The record is from RNAcentral.